GCGGCGAGUGAAGCGGCAAGAGCUCAGAUUUGGAAUCGUGUUUCGGCACGAGUUGUAAAUUGCAGGUUGGAGUCUUUGUGGAAGCGUGUGUCCAAGUCCCUUGGAACAGGGCGCCAUUGAGGGUGAGAGCCCCGUGGGAUGCGCGCGGAAGCAGCAAGGCCCUUCUGACGAGUCGAGUUGUUUGGGAAUGCAGCUCUAAGCGGGUGGUAAAUUCCAUCUAAGGCUAAAUACUGGCGAGAGACCGAUAGCGAACAAGUACUGUGAAGGAAAGAUGAAAAGCACUUUGAAAAGAGAGUGAAACAGCACGUGAAAUUGUUGAAAGGGAAGGGUAUUGGGCCCGACAUGGGGAUUGCGCAUCUCUGCUCCUUGUGGGCGGGGCGCUGUGCUUUUCCUGGGCCAGCAUCGGUUUUUGCCGCAGGAGAAGGGGUACUGGAAUGUGGCUCCUCGGAGUGUUAUAGCCAGUGCCAGAUGCUGCGUGCGGGGACCGAGGGCUGCGACAUCUGUCUCGGAUGCUGGCACAACGGCGCAAUACCGCCCG
Molecule: ribosomal RNA, 538 nt
Filed under: Pichia pseudolambica
Lineage: Eukaryota; Fungi; Ascomycota; Pichiomycetes; Pichiales; Pichiaceae
Description: eukaryotic LSU rRNA
Rfam family: Eukaryotic large subunit ribosomal RNA
Source: RNAcentral